RNAcentral lists this small nuclear RNA (321 nucleotides) under Propithecus coquereli (Coquerel's sifaka). RNAcentral's name for it is "7SK RNA (ENSPCOG00000011542.1)". It matches the Rfam family "7SK RNA". From Rfam's summary of the family: 7SK was discovered as an abundant small nuclear RNA in the mid-70s but a possible function has only recently been suggested. Two independent studies have found that 7SK RNA binds the CDK9/cyclin T complex (known as elongation factor P-TEFb). The record is from Rfam by way of RNAcentral. Lineage: Eukaryota; Metazoa; Chordata; Mammalia; Primates; Indriidae.
GGAUGUGGGGGUGAUCUGGCUGCGACAUCUGUCACCCCAUUGAUUGCCAAGGUUGAUUUAACUGAUCUGGCUGGCUAGGCGGGUGUCCGCUUCCUCCCUCACCACUCCAUGUGCGUGCUUCCCAAAGCUAUGCGCUUGGUCGAAGAGGACGACCUUCCCCAAUAGAGGAGGACUGGUCUUCGGUCAAAGGUAUACGAGUAGCCGCGCUCCCCUGCUAGAACCUCCAAACAAAAUAACCCAAGCCAACAUUCCUAUCUUGUGUGGCAGUGAGGUCCCAAGUUGUUCAUACCUACCUAUGUCCAUGCCCUUUGCAAUGCUCCU